RNAcentral lists this small nuclear RNA (112 nucleotides) under Capra hircus (goat). RNAcentral describes it as "U5 spliceosomal RNA (ENSCHIG00000003697.1)". It matches the Rfam family "U5 spliceosomal RNA". Rfam says of the family: U5 RNA is a component of both types of known spliceosome. Lineage: Eukaryota; Metazoa; Chordata; Mammalia; Artiodactyla; Bovidae. The record is from Rfam by way of RNAcentral.
AUACUCUGGUUUCCCUUCAGAUCAUAUAAAUCUUUUGCCUUUUACUAAAGAUUUCUGUGGACAGAGACAGACAGUGGUUGGGCCCAUUCUCCUCUUCCCCUCCUCCCAAGAC